Molecule: ribosomal RNA, 1060 nt
Filed under: Pseudomonas fluorescens
Lineage: Bacteria; Pseudomonadati; Pseudomonadota; Gammaproteobacteria; Pseudomonadales; Pseudomonadaceae
Description: bacterial SSU rRNA
Rfam family: Bacterial small subunit ribosomal RNA
Source: RNAcentral
AGAGUUUGAUCAUGGCUCAGAUUGAACGCUGGCGGCAGGCCUAACACAUGCAAGUCGAGCGGUAGAGAGAAGCUUGCUUCUCUUGAGAGCGGCGGACGGGUGAGUAAUGCCUAGGAAUCUGCCUGGUAGUGGGGGAUAACGUUCGGAAACGGACGCUAAUACCGCAUACGUCCUACGGGAGAAAGCAGGGGACCUUCGGGCCUUGCGCUAUCAGAUGAGCCUAGGUCGGAUUAGCUAGUUGGUGAGGUAAUGGCUCACCAAGGCGACGAUCCGUAACUGGUCUGAGAGGAUGAUCAGUCACACUGGAACUGAGACACGGUCCAGACUCCUACGGGAGGCAGCAGUGGGGAAUAUUGGACAAUGGGCGAAAGCCUGAUCCAGCCAUGCCGCGUGUGUGAAGAAGGUCUUCGGAUUGUAAAGCACUUUAAGUUGGGAGGAAGGGUUGUAGAUUAAUACUCUGCAAUUUUGACGUUACCGACAGAAUAAGCACCGGCUAACUCUGUGCCAGCAGCCGCGGUAAUACAGAGGGUGCAAGCGUUAAUCGGAAUUACUGGGCGUAAAGCGCGCGUAGGUGGUUUGUUAAGUUGGAUGUGAAAUCCCCGGGCUCAACCUGGGAACUGCAUUCAAAACUGACUGACUAGAGUAUGGUAGAGGGUGGUGGAAUUUCCUGUGUAGCGGUGAAAUGCGUAGAUAUAGGAAGGAACACCAGUGGCGAAGGCGACCACCUGGACUAAUACUGACACUGAGGUGCGAAAGCGUGGGGAGCAAACAGGAUUAGAUACCCUGGUAGUCCACGCCGUAAACGAUGUCAACUAGCCGUUGGAAGCCUUGAGCUUUUAGUGGCGCAGCUAACGCAUUAAGUUGACCGCCUGGGGAGUACGGCCGCAAGGUUAAAACUCAAAUGAAUUGACGGGGGCCCGCACAAGCGGUGGAGCAUGUGGUUUAAUUCGAAGCAACGCGAAGAACCUUACCAGGCCUUGACAUCCAAUGAACUUUCUAGAGAUAGAUUGGUGCCUUCGGGAACAUUGAGACAGGUGCUGCAUGGCUGUCGUCAGCUCGU